CGGCGACCGGCGCACGGGUGAGUAACACGUAUCCAACCUGCCUUCAGCUCGGGGAUAGCCCUCUGAAAGGAGGAUUAAUACCCGAUGCGGUUAUUUGCAGACAUCUGCUUGUAACUAAAGAUUUAUCGGCUGAUGAUGGGGAUGCGUAUGAUUAGCUUGUUGGCGGGUAACGGCCACCAAGGCGACGAUCAUUAGGGGUUCUGAGAGGAAGGUCCCCCACAUAGGAACUGAGACACGGUCCUAACUCCUACGGGAGGCAGCAGUGAGGAAUAUUGGUCAAUGGCCGUAAGGCUGAACCAGCCAAGUAGCGUGAAGGAUGACUGCCCUACGGGUUGUAAACUUCUUUUACGGGAGGAUAAAGUGUGCCACGUGUGGCAUAUUGCAGGUAUCCCGUGAAUAAGCAUCGGCUAAUUCCGUGCCAGCCGCAGC
Molecule: ribosomal RNA, 429 nt
Filed under: uncultured bacterium
Lineage: Bacteria
Description: bacterial SSU rRNA
Rfam family: Bacterial small subunit ribosomal RNA
Source: RNAcentral